GGCAACGGAGGUAACUCCAACCCCUGUGACAUACCAAUUGUUGCCUCGGCGGAUCAGCCCGCUCCCGGUAAAACGGGACGGCCCGCCAGAGGACCCCUAAACUCUGUUUCUAUAUGUAACUUCUGAGUAAAACCAUAAAUAAAUCAAAACUUUCAACAACGGAUCUCUUGGUUCUGGCAUCGAUGAAGAACGCAGCAAAAUGCGAUAAGUAAUGUGAAUUGCAGAAUUCAGUGAAUCAUCGAAUCUUUGAACGCACAUUGCGCCCGCCAGUAUUCUGGCGGGCAUGCCUGUUCGAGCGUCAUUUCAACCCUCAAGCCCUCGGGUUUGGUGUUGGGGAUCGGCGAGCCCUUGCGGCAAGCCGGCCCCGAAAUCUAGUGGCGGUCUCGCUGCAGCUUCCAUUGCGUAGUAGUAAAACCCUCGCAACUGGUACGCGGCGCGGCCAAGCCGUUAAACCCCCAACUUCUGAAUGUUGACCUCGGAUCAGGUAGGAAUACCCGCUGAACUUAAGCAUAUCAAAGUCCGGGAGGAAA
This 530-nucleotide ribosomal RNA is filed under the name Fusarium sp. LJC. RNAcentral describes it as "eukaryotic LSU rRNA". The stretch from base 148 to 301 matches the Rfam family "5.8S ribosomal RNA". The record is from RNAcentral. Lineage: Eukaryota; Fungi; Ascomycota; Sordariomycetes; Hypocreales; Nectriaceae.